CUACAACACAACAUGAUACUGGACAGAGAGCUAAAAUGUAGUUUACUCUGAGCACACCAGACAACCAGAGGACCCAGUUUAACAGUGCUCUCUGGCACCAUGAAACCUUAAGGAGCAUCCAGCAGAAAAGUCAACUUUAAACCAUUCUUCAAAAAAUUAUCUGUAAGCCUUAUUUUAAGGAGACAAAAUAUACACAUAACGAGCAACAUAGUUGUGUUUAAAAUUUAAUGUUGUAACAUACUCCUUCUAAAGGAAGAUGUACAAUACAAUUUUCAUUGCUUAAGAGUCAAUGUGUUGGAAACAGUUGGUUGUUGGGAUGUGGAGUGGAAUUGUCGCAGAGGUAGAAGAGUGAAAGGUAAAACUUGUUCCACGUUCUUCUCAGGUGUGGAAUAUGACGAUGAUGAUGAUGGUCCCAGGUUAUCUCUGGAGACAGGAAGCUGGAUUCACCAGGUAUUAGACUGUUAAAAUGUCCACUUUUAUUCUUUCUUCUUGUAGUCCUCCAGGUGGCACAGGAUCCAUCCAGAUG
Thunnus maccoyii (southern bluefin tuna) is the source of this 526-nucleotide long non-coding RNA. RefSeq lists it as uncharacterized. The record is from RefSeq and is a predicted model, not a curated record. Lineage: Eukaryota; Metazoa; Chordata; Actinopteri; Scombriformes; Scombridae. The transcript is spliced from 2 exons.